GGCUUACCAUGCAGUCGAGCGGGGGAAGGUAGCUUGCUACUGGACCUAGCGGCGGACGGGUGAGUAAUGCUUAGGAAUCUGCCUAUUAGUGGGGGACAACAUCUCGAAAGGGAUGCUAAUACCGCAUACGUCCUACGGGAGAAAGCAGGGGAUCUUCGGACCUUGCGCUAAUAGAUGAGCCUAAGUCGGAUUAGCUAGUUGGUGGGGUAAAGGCCUACCAAGGCGACGAUCUGUAGCGGGUCUGAGAGGAUGAUCCGCCACACUGGGACUGAGACACGGCCCAGACUCCUACGGGAGGCAGCAGUGGGGAAUAUUGGACAAUGGGGGGAACCCUGAUCCAGCCAUGCCGCGUGUGUGAAGAAGGCCUUAUGGUUGUAAAGCACUUUAAGCGAGGAGGAGGCUACUUUAGUUAAUACCUAGAGAUAGUGGACGUUACUCGCAGAAUAAGCACCGGCUAACUCUGUGCCAGCAGCCGCGGUAAUACAGAGGGUGCGAGCGUUAAUCGGAUUUACUGGGCGUAAAGCGUGCGUAGGCGGCUUAUUAAGUCGGAUGUGAAAUCCCCGAGCUUAACUUGGGAAUUGCAUUCGAUACUGGUGAGCUAGAGUAUGGGAGAGGAUGGUAGAAUUCCAGGUGUAGCGGUGAAAUGCGUAGAGAUCUGGAGGAAUACCGAUGGCGAAGGCAGCCAUCUGGCCUAAUACUGACGCUGAGGUACGAAAGCAUGGGGAGCAAACAGGAUUAGAUACCCUGGUAGUCCAUGCCGUAAACGAUGUCUACUAGCCGUUGGGGCCUUUGAGGCUUUAGUGGCGCAGCUAACGCGAUAAGUAGACCGCCUGGGGAGUACGGUCGCAAGACUAAAACUCAAAGGAAUUGACGG
RNAcentral lists this ribosomal RNA (874 nucleotides) under uncultured bacterium. RNAcentral describes it as "bacterial SSU rRNA". It matches the Rfam family "Bacterial small subunit ribosomal RNA", at positions 45 to 916 of the family's 1533-position model. The record is from RNAcentral.